GAUGAACGCUGGCGGCGUGCCUAAUACAUGCAAGUCGAGCGAACAGACGAGGAGCUUGCUCCUCUGACGUUAGCGGCGGACGGGUGAGUAACACGUGGAUAACCUACCUAUAAGACUGGGAUAACUUCGGGAAACCGGAGCUAAUACCGGAUAAUAUAUUGAACCGCAUGGUUCAAUAGUGAAAGACGGUUUUGCUGUCACUUAUAGAUGGAUCCGCGCCGCAUUAGCUAGUUGGUAAGGUAACGGCUUACCAAGGCAACGAUGCGUAGCCGACCUGAGAGGGUGAUCGGCCACACUGGAACUGAGACACGGUCAAGACUCCUACGGGAGGCAGCAGUAGGGAAUCUUCCGCAAUGGGCGAAAGCCUGACGGAGCAACGCCGCGUGAGUGAUGAAGGUCUUCGGAUCGUAAAACUCUGUUAUUAGGAAAGAACAAAUGUGUAAGUAACUAUGCACGUCUUGACGGUACCUAAUCAGAAAGCCACGGCUAACUACGUG
This 497-nucleotide ribosomal RNA is filed under the name uncultured bacterium. Its description in RNAcentral is "partial 16S ribosomal RNA". It matches the Rfam family "Bacterial small subunit ribosomal RNA", at positions 28 to 507 of the family's 1533-position model. The record is from RNAcentral.